UCCCAGGCAAUUUAUUUACCACUUAAAAAAUACCGAAUGAGACUCUGACAGCAGAAAUCCCCGCGGUGUGCUGUGAGAGCAGCCUGACCCAGGCUGGGCAGUCCUGCACCCGGGCUCGCUGCAGGUCCCUUUUCCCUCACCCACGUGAGCAAUCCGGUGACAGGGUGCGUGGUUGCCGCGGGUGUGACGCGCAGCCAGCCCUGUUCUCCAAAGCCCUGCCGAGGAUGCUCGCGGUCAGGGCUUCUCCGAGCCCUUCCCAGGGCGGCUGGCGGCGGUCCUGGGGAGCAGCAGCCCCCAGGAGAGGCUGGAGAGCCCCCAGCGUUUCCUGCUGAGGCAGCACAUUCCCAGAGGGAGGAAAGGUCGUGGCUGGGGCUGUCCUGGUUUCCGCUCCCGCUCCCAGCACGGCCGUCAGCUGCGGCGGCUUCCUCUGGCUGCUGCCCAGCCUUCGCAAGGUGCGCCCCAGCCCUGGCACCGGCGGCGGUCCCGCUCACCGGGAGGGUCCCAGCCGGGCCAGCAGCCGUGGCUGGUUCUUCCUCCUCACCAGAACUGUCCCAGCCGGGCCAGCAGCCGUGGCUGGUUCUUCCUCCUCACCAGAACUGUCCCAGCCGGGCCAGCAGCCGUGGCUGGUUCUUCCUCCUCACCAGAACUGUCCCAGCCGGGCCAGCAGCCGUGGCUGGUUCUUCCUCCUCACCAGAACUGUCCCAGCCGGGCCAGCAGCCGUGGCUGGUUCUUCCUCCUCACCAGAACUGUCCCAGCCGGGCCAGCAGCCUUGCGUGGCUCUUCCUCCUCACCGGGAGGGUCCCAGCCAGGCCAGGAGCCGUGCGUGGCUCUUCCUCCUCACCAGAACUGUCCCAGCCGGGCCAGCAGCCGUGCGUGGCUCUUCCUCCUCACCGGGAGGGUCCCAGCCGGGCCAGCAGCCGUGCGUGGCUCUUCCUCCUCACCGGGAGGGUCCCAGCCAGGCCAGCAGCCGUGCCUGGUUCUUCCUCCUCACCAGAACUGUCCCAGCCGGGCCAGCAGCCAUGGCUGGUUCUUCCUCCUCACCAGAACUGUCCCAGCCAGGCCAGCAGCCAUGCGUGGCUCUUUCUGCCGUGCCUGGCUCUUUCUGCCGUGCCUGGCUCUUUCUCCCGUGCGUGGCUCUUUCUCCCGUGCGUGGCUGGGCGCUGGGCAGGCACAGCCGGGCAGGGCGAGCGGCGCUGGCCGGACGCGGGCGGCCUCCCGGUGACACACAGCCC
Molecule: long non-coding RNA, 1232 nt
Filed under: Chloebia gouldiae (Gouldian finch)
Lineage: Eukaryota; Metazoa; Chordata; Aves; Passeriformes; Passeridae
Description: Erythrura gouldiae (Gouldian finch) lncRNA (ENSEGOG00005010818.1)
Source: RNAcentral